GGGUUGUGAGGUUAAGCGACUAAGCGUACACGGUGGAUGCCCUGGCAGUCAGAGGCGAUGAAGGACGUGCUAAUCUGCGAAAAGCGUCGGUAAGGUGAUAUGAACCGUUAUAACCGGCGAUGUCCGAAUGGGGAAACCCAGUGCAAUUCGUUGCACUAUCGUUAACUGAAUACAUAGGUUAACGAGGCGAACCGGGGGAACUGAAACAUCUAAGUACCCCGAGGAAAAGAAAUCAACCGAGAUUCCCCCAGUAGCGGCGAGCGAACGGGGAGCAGCCCAGAGUCUGAAUCAGCUUGUGUGUUAGUGGAACGGUCUGGAAAGUCCGACGGUACAGGGUGAUAGUCCCGUACACCAAAAUGCACAGGCUGUGAACUCGAAGAGUAGGGCGGGACACGUGGUAUCCUGUCUGAAUAUGGGGGGACCAUCCUCCAAGGCUAAAUACUCCUGACUGACCGAUAGUGAACCAGUACCGUGAGGGAAAGGCGAAAAGAACCCCGGCGAGGGGAGUGAAAAAGAACCUGAAACCGUGUACGUACAAGCAGUGGGAGCACCUUCGGGUGUGACUGCGUACCUUUUGUAUAAUGGGUCAGCGACUUAUAUUCUGUAGCAAGGUUAACCGUAUAGGGGAGCCGCAGGGAAACCGAGUCUUAACUGGGCGUUAAGUUGCAGGGUAUAGACCCGAAACCCGGUGAUCUAGCCAUGGGCAGGUUGAAGGUUGGGUAACACUAACUGGAGGACCGAACCGACUAAUGUUGAAAAAUUAGCGGAUGACUUGUGGCUGGGGGUGAAAGGCCAAUCAAACCGGGAGAUAGCUGGUUCUCCCCGAAAGCUAUUUAGGUAGCGCCUCGUGAAUUCAUCUUCGGGGGUAGAGCACUGUUUCGGCUAGGGGGUCAUCCCGACUUACCAACCCGAUGCAAACUACGAAUACCGAAGAAUGUUAUCACGGGAGACACACGGCGGGUGCUAACGUCCGUCGUGAAGAGGGAAACAACCCAGACCGCCAGCUAAGGUCCCAAAGUCAUGGUUAAGUGGGAAACGAUGUGGGAAGGCACAGACAGCCAGGAUGUUGGCUUAGAAGCAGCCAUCAUUUAAAGAAAGCGUAAUAGCUCACUGGUCGAGUCGGCCUGCGCGGAAGAUGUAACGGGGCUAAACCAUGCACCGAAGCUGCGGCAGCGACACGAUGUGUUGUUGGGUAGGGGAGCGUUCUGUAAGCCUGCGAAGGUGACCUGUGAGGGUUGCUGGAGGUAUCAGAAGUGCGAAUGCUGACAUAAGUAACGAUAAAGCGGGUGAAAAGCCCGCUCGCCGGAAGACCAAGGGUUCCUGUCCAACGUUAAUCGGGGCAGGGUGAGUCGACCCCUAAGGCGAGGCCGAAAGGCGUAGUCGAUGGGAAACAGGUUAAUAUUCCUGUACUUGGUGUUACUGCGAAGGGGGGACGGAGAAGGCUAUGUUAGCCGGGCGACGGUUGUCCCGGUUUAAGCAUGUAGGCUGGUUAUCCAGGCAAAUCCGGAUAAUCAAGGCUGAGGUGUGAUGACGAGGCACUACGGUGCUGAAGUAACAAAUGCCCUGCUUCCAGGAAAAGCCUCUAAGCAUCAGGUAAC
This 1598-nucleotide ribosomal RNA is filed under the name Klebsiella quasipneumoniae. RNAcentral describes it as "bacterial LSU rRNA". It matches the Rfam family "Bacterial large subunit ribosomal RNA", at positions 1 to 1635 of the family's 2925-position model. The record is from RNAcentral. Lineage: Bacteria; Pseudomonadati; Pseudomonadota; Gammaproteobacteria; Enterobacterales; Enterobacteriaceae.